This 427-nucleotide ribosomal RNA is filed under the name uncultured prokaryote. Its description in RNAcentral is "bacterial SSU rRNA". It matches the Rfam family "Bacterial small subunit ribosomal RNA", at positions 356 to 774 of the family's 1533-position model. The record is from RNAcentral.
GAGGAAUUUUGCGCAAUGGGAGCAAUCCUGACGCAGCAACGCCGCGUGGGUGAUGAAGGCCUUCGGGUCGUAAAGCCCUGUCAGGUGGGAAGAAUGUCCCGGGACUGAACAGGUUCCGGGAGUGACGGUACCACCAGAGGAAGCACCGGCUAACUCCGUGCCAGCAGCCGCGGUAAUACGGGGGGUGCAAGCGUUAUUCGGAAUUACUGGGCGUAAAGCGCGUGUAGGCGGUCCUGCAAGUCUGAUGUGAAAGCCCCGGGCUUAACCCGGGAAGUGCAUUGGAAGCUGUGGGACUUGAGUACUGGAGAGGAUGGGGGAAUUCCCGGUGUAGAGGUGAAAUUCGUAGAGAUCGGGAGGAAUAUCAGUGGCGAAGGCGCCCAUCUGGACGGUAACUGACGCUGAGACGCGAAAGCGUGGGGAGCAAACA